GACGAACGCUGGCGGCGUGCUUAACACAUGCAAGUCGAACGGAAAGGCCCUGCUUUUGUGGGUUGCUCGAGUGGCGAACGGGUGAGUAACACGUGAGUAACCUGCCCUUGACUUUGGGAUAACUUCAGGAAACUGCGGCUAAUACCGGAUAGGAGCUCCUGCUGCAUGUUGGGGGUUGGAAAGUUUCGGCGGUUGGGGAUGGACUCGCGGCUUAUCAGCUUGUUGGUGGGGUAGUGGCUUACCAAGGCUUUGACGGGUAGCCGGCCUGAGAGGGUGACCGGCCACAUUGGGACUGAGAUACGGCCCAGACUCCUACGGGAGGCAGCAGGGGGGAAUAUUGCACAAUGGGCGGAAGCCUGAUGCAGCAACGCCGCGUGCGGGAUGACGGCCUUCGGGUUGUAAACCGCUUUCGCAUGUGACGAAGAGUGAGUGACGGUAAUGGGUAAAGAAGCAACGGCUAACUACGUG
Molecule: ribosomal RNA, 468 nt
Filed under: uncultured bacterium
Lineage: Bacteria
Description: partial 16S ribosomal RNA
Rfam family: Bacterial small subunit ribosomal RNA
Source: RNAcentral